RNAcentral lists this ribosomal RNA (461 nucleotides) under uncultured bacterium. RNAcentral describes it as "partial 16S ribosomal RNA". It matches the Rfam family "Bacterial small subunit ribosomal RNA", at positions 338 to 795 of the family's 1533-position model. The record is from RNAcentral.
CCUACGGGCGGCAGCAGUGAGGAAUAUUGGUCAAUGGGCGCAAGCCUGAACCAGCCAAGUCGCGUGAGGGAUGACGGUCCUAUGGAUUGUAAACCUCUUUUGUCGGGGAGCAAGGCCCGCCACGUGUGGCGGGAAGGAGAGUUCCCGAAGAAAAAGCAUCGGCUAACUCCGUGACAGCAGCCGCGGUAAUACGGAGGAUGCGAGCGUUAUCCGGAUUUAUUGGGUUUAAAGGGUGCGUUGGCGGCCUUUUAAGUCAGCGGGGAAAGUCUGUGGGUCAACCAUGGAAUUGCCGUUGAAACUGGGGGGCUUGAGUAUGUGUGAGGCAGGCGGAAUGCGUGGUGUAGCGGGGAAAUGCUUAGAUAUCACGCAGAACCCCGAUUGCGAAGGCAGCCUGCCACGCCAUGACUGACGCUGAUGCACGAAAGCGUGGGGAUCAAACAGGAUUAGAUACCCUAGUAGUC